ACAGGGAUUGCCUUAGUAACGGCGAGUGAAGCGGCAACAGCUCAAAUUUGAAAUCUGGCCCUUGGGUCCGAAUUGUAAUUUGUAGAGGAUGAUUUUGGUGCGGUAUCUUCCGAGUUCCUUGGAACAGGACGCCUUAGAGGGUGAGAGCCCCGUACGGUUGAAUGCCUAGCCUCUGUAAAUCUCCUUCGACGAGUCGAGUAGUUUGGGAAUGCUGCUCUAAAUGGGAGGUAAAUUUCUUCUAAAGCUAAAUAUUGGCCAGAGACCGAUAGCGCACAAGUAGAGUGAUCGAAAGAUGAAAAGCACUUUGAAAAGAGGGUUAAAUAGCACGUGAAAUUGUUGAAAGGGAAGGAUUUGUGACCAGACUUUUUCUGGGCGGAUCAUCCGGGGUUCUCUCCGGUGCACUUUGCCCAGUAAAGGCCAGCAUCGGUUUUCGGCGGGGGAUAAAAGCAGUAGGAAUGUGGCUCUCUACGGGGAGUGUUAUAGCCUAUUGUAUAAUACCCUGCUGGGGACCGAGGUACGCGCUUCUGCAAGGAUGCUGGCGUAAUGGUUAUCAAUCACCCGUCUUGAAACACGGACCAAGGAGUCGAACAUUUGUGCAAGUGUUUGGGUGUUAAACCCUCACGCGUAAUGAAAGUGAACGGAGGUGAGAGCCCUUACGGGUGCAUCAUCGACCGAUCCUGAAGUUUUCGGAUGGAUUUGAGUAAGAGCAUAACUGUUCGGACCCGAAAGAUGGUGAACUAUGCGUGGAUAGGGUGAAGCCAGAGGAAACUCUGGUGGAGGCUCGCAGCGGUUCUGACGUGCAAAUCGAUCGUCAAAUCUGCGCAUGGGGGCGAAAGACUAAUCGACCAUCUAGUAGCUGGUUACGCGAUCUCCUC
Molecule: ribosomal RNA, 875 nt
Filed under: Pseudopestalotiopsis ixorae
Lineage: Eukaryota; Fungi; Ascomycota; Sordariomycetes; Amphisphaeriales; Sporocadaceae
Description: partial 28S ribosomal RNA
Rfam family: Eukaryotic large subunit ribosomal RNA
Source: RNAcentral